This 255-nucleotide ribosomal RNA is filed under the name uncultured bacterium. RNAcentral describes it as "partial 16S ribosomal RNA". It matches the Rfam family "Bacterial small subunit ribosomal RNA", at positions 524 to 776 of the family's 1533-position model. The record is from RNAcentral.
UACGAAGGGGGCACUAGCGUUGCUCGGAUUCAUUGGGCGUAAAGGGUGCGUAGGCGGCGCGGUAAGUCGGGUGUGAAAUCUUGGAGCUUAACUCCGAAACUGCAUUCGAUACUGCCGUGCUUGAGGACUGGAGAGGAGACUGGAAUUUACGGUGUAGCGGUGAAAUGCGUAGAUAUCGUAAGGAAGACCAGUGGCGAAGGCGGGUCUCGUGGACAGUUCCUGACGCUGAGGCACGAAGGCCAGGGAGCAAACGGG